GGGCCUAUGGCGCAAUUGGUAGCGCGUAGUAAGUUCACCUGCAUCCAAUCGGAUCGCAAAAAAACAUUCUCUAACAGAUUUCCAACAGCGACUCCAGAUCGUAAGGUUGUCCGAUCGAGCCGGGCUGGGCUCA
This is a non-coding RNA of Aspergillus brasiliensis CBS 101740, 133 nucleotides long. NCBI's taxonomy places the organism in Eukaryota, Fungi, Ascomycota, Eurotiomycetes, Eurotiales, Aspergillaceae. The record is from the annotation of a GenBank genome assembly.